Hyla sarda is the source of this 621-nucleotide long non-coding RNA. RefSeq lists it as uncharacterized. The transcript is spliced from 3 exons. The record is from RefSeq and is a predicted model, not a curated record. Lineage: Eukaryota; Metazoa; Chordata; Amphibia; Anura; Hylidae.
GCGCGGAGAAGAGGCCCCCCCCGGUGAAGAUGGACAGCCCGAAACGACUAUCCCUCUCCACCGGACGGUCCCUGCAGCACAGAUGGCCUGGACCAGCUCACCCUUCCUUCCCGCCGAGGGGAGGAAAGAAGAAGAAACUUAGACUUUGGGCAUAAGUUGUACAAGCACCCUAUAGAAGUAUAAUAGGAGCUUUCAGGGCUUUCAGCCAGGCCUAGCGCAGCAUUGCUUUUAAAUUAUGAAAACUACCAGUUACCCCCCCACAGUUUGGAAAUUGGAAACAGGAAAGACAAACAGCAAGCUUUUCAGCAUCUGAAUCAUACUAAAGAAAGAGAGACUUGUAGGACAUGCUCACUAGACCCUCUUUACUUUGAGAUUACUGUAUUUAAACCUUCCUAUAGAGCGAGAGAUAAAACAGCUAGGACUUGUGGACAAAAUUAUAACAGGUCUUCUCAGGAGGAGGAAGAAGAGUCUAAUGCUGAGCGUGAGGCUUGAGAAAGAGGACAAGACCGCGAAAGGAGUGCUGCCUCGUCUCUGCCGUUCAAUCAUCAGGAUGCCGACUGCUACUCCCUACCACAGCAUCAGGCAAUAUGGACUGUCGUUAUAAAUAAAGAAGACUUAUAC